AGAAGGUGGAGAAAGGACAUAUGGUGUCUGUUAGCACCAGGUCGUUUUCUUAUGGAAAAAUACAACAUUAUUUUUAGAGCUAAAAUCAUGGAAAGCAACAUCCAGUCGACUGUGAAAACAACAUUAGAAACAGGCAUUACCCACUGGGGUGGAGGAAUUGAUUAUAGCAGCCUGUGGCCUUAGUCCGUCCGUAAAACAGGCCCGUCCGUCCGUCAAACAGGACCUGAGCCCUAGGACCAUGCCCCAGGACUACCUGACUUGAUGACUCCUUGC
Molecule: long non-coding RNA, 273 nt
Organism: Oncorhynchus gorbuscha (pink salmon)
Lineage: Eukaryota; Metazoa; Chordata; Actinopteri; Salmoniformes; Salmonidae
Exons: 3
Source: RefSeq, a predicted model, not a curated record